GAAAAAUCAAACCUAGGUGCUUGUAGAAAGAAAGCCAAAUCAAAAAGUGGUAAGUUGUAAAUGGAUAUUCAAGCGAAAACAGGGUGCCACUAAGAAUGAACCCAUAAGGUUCAAAGCUAGAUUAGUGGCUCAAGGGUAUACUCAGAGAGAGGGCAUUGACUACACCAAAGUAUUCUCUCCAGUGGUGAAACAUACCUCAAUUAGAGUAUUGAUGUCCAUUGUAGCUCAAUUUGAUUGGGAAUUGGAGCAACUAGAUGUUAAAACUGUCUUUUUUACAUGGAGACUUAGAAGAAAAAAAAUCUAAUGACUCAACUUGAAGGUUUUAAAGAGCCAGAAAAGGAACAUCUAGUGUGUUUACUUAAAAAAUCCUUAUAUUGAUUGAAACAAUCCCCAAGACAAUGGUAUAAAAGGUUUGACACCUUUAUACUAAAGAUUGGUUUCAAAAUGAGCAGUUAUGAUGGUUGUUUCUAUUAUAAGAAGUUACAAGGAAGUCUGAUGAUAUUUCUUCUAAUAUAUGUCGAUGAUAUGUUAUUGGCUUGCAAAGAUAAGUCACAAAUUCAAGAGGUGAAGAGGAUUCUAAAGUCAGAAUUUGAUAUGAUGGAUCUUGGGAAUGCAAGAAGAAUACUCGGCAUGGAAAUUGUAAGAAACAUAAAGGAUCGUACUUUAUUCUUAUCACAAAAUGGCUACUUAGAAAAGGUUUUGAAAAGGUUUUCCAUGGAGAAUUCAAAACCUGUAAGUAUACCAUUAGCAGGACAUCUCAGAUUGUCAAUGACACAAUUUCCUCAAUCUGAAGUUGAAAUGAAAGAGAUGAAUUUUGUUCCAUAUGCUAAUGUUAUAGGGUCACUCAUGUAUGCAAUGGUGUGCUCACGACCAAAUAUUGUUCAUUCAAUAAGUGUUUUGAGCAGGUUUAUGGCUAACCUAGGUAGAAAACAUUGGAAUGGAGUUAAAUGGUUGCUAAGAUAUGUAAGAGGAUCUUUUGGUGUAGGAUUGAAGUUUGGAUAUUCUAAAGAGGGUGUUGGUAUCACAGGUUAUGUGGAUUCAGAUUUGCAGAGGAUCUUGAUAAGAGAAGGUCAACUACAAGUUAUAUUUUCACCUUAUUUGGAGGACUUGUUAGCUGGAAGUCACAACUACAAUCGAUAGUGGCACUUUCAACAACCGAAGCUGAAUAUAUAGCAAUUACUGAGGCCAUGAAAGAAGUUAUUUGGUUGCAAGGACUUGUUAAGAGCUUGGAGUGCUGAAUAGUGUAGUGGAAAUAUUUUUAGACAGUUAGAGUGCAAUUCAGUUGCGUAAAAAUCAAGUGUUUCAUGAAAGGACCAAACAUGUCGAUGUUAGAUAUCACUUCAUUAGAGAAAAUGUAAGCUCAAGAGCAGUGAAGAUGGAGAAGAUUUCCACAGUUGAUAAUCUAACCGACAUGGCAACUAAAGUUCUACCAGUAAGCAAAUUCAGGUAUUACCUGGAUUUGGUCCAAGUAAUGUGCAACUACUAUUUAAGUCAAAUCUUCAUCCGAAGAAUCCAAAUUCAAUUUUUGAACCAAGGUGGAGAAUGUGGAAUUUGGUGGUCCAAAAAUUAAUUAGCCACAUAAGCAAAGUUAGUUGAUUAACUAACUGAAAGCAUACCUGUUUUGCUUAGUUUUUUCAUGUACUUGUAUAAAAGUGUGACGAAAAAAAAACAGAGGGGUGUGAGUUUUCUGAAUUACAAAACAGGUGUGAGAGGAUUUCAAAGUGUGAGUCUUGUUCAUUGUACUGUAGAAAGAGUUUGAAAAAUCUCAAAGAUUCUUGAAGGUGUAAAAUGGUUCAAUCUUAGUGGAUUUUUGGAGAUGAUCUUGAUCCAUGGAUGUAGGAUUCAAAUCUUGGAUCCGAAUCACAUAAAUUUUGGUUGUUUUGCUCUGUUUUUUCUGACUUCUGGUAUUGUUUUUCUUUGUUUUCUUAAAUUGGUGUUCGAUCUCAAUUUAUUGAGGAACUUGGAUAAAACCUCAACACAUAUCAUCAUCAACAAUUUGUACUCCUACAACAGAGCCUAGAGAUGAAAAAAGAAGGCCUUGGAAAAUAAAUAAAUACCACAUAUUUUAGGGGCAUAAUAGGAAGUCUUUGUUAUUUGACUUCUACAAGACCAUAUGUUGCUUAUGGAGUUGGAAUUAUUAGUCGAUUUAUAAAAAUAAAAAAGCAUAUCAAUCAUACUUGCAAGCAAUAAUAUGAAUUUUAAGGUAUGUAAGUUGUACUCGUAAUUAUGCUUUAGUUUAGUGGCCUACACACACACACUUUUAUAUAUAUAUAUAUAUAUAUAGGUGAUGGAAAGGCUAGAAAUAGUACUAUUUCUUAUCUAGGAAUAGAAGCAUUAUCGUAAUCAACAAAGAAACAUUAAUUAGUUAUAACAUUAUCAACUAUUGAAUAUAUGGUAGUAACUUUUGCAACAUGCCAAGUAAUUUGGCUUUCCAUGGUGGUUAGUGAAUUAAAGUGUAAAUAAUAAAAGGGUCCUACAAAUAUUUUGUAUGAUAAUAAACUUGUUAUUACAUCAACAAAGAAUAUGAUGUUCAAAGCAAACAAAUAAGUAUCAAAUUUCAUUAUAUUAGAGAAAUCAUAAAAAUUGAUGAGAUCAAACCUAAAUUUUGUAGAUUAGAAGAUCAAAUUACAUACAUUUUUAUAAAGCCACUAAAAUAGUUGUGUUCAAGAAUAAGAUUUUUUUAGUUUUAAAAAUUAUUUUUAUAUAUAUAAAAACUUAUUAAAAUAGAAAAGAAAUUUAGCUUCAAUUUUAUACAUAUAAUAUUAUAUAAUUCUCCUACCCGGUUAGUCCACCCCAGUCCCACCCCUAUUUAACUUUUUUUCAUUUUUUCUAAACAAGACUAAGAAUAUAUUUAUAAAAUAGCAAGGGGUUGGAAUCAGUCUCAUUUUCCAUUCCUAGAAAUAGUACACGAAUACAACACCUAAGGCUGUAAAGUGUACCCACAUUUUCAAGAAACCUUUAUGUAAAGUAAAGCUCUCAAUGUCAAUUACCACCUCACACUUACAUAUCACCGACAGAUACGACAAAGAAUUUUGACUUCAUAUGUUUACUUUCAUACCUCUAUUCAUUGGCCACUUCAAUCACAAACAAAAAUUAAAUUCCAACCAGCCCAUAUUCAACAUUUACACUUUAUUGAAUACAUAGAAAUAUGUACAGUACCAAGCAAAAGGCCUUGUUUUAUACGAAGAAAGUACACAAUUUCCAUUCAAGUCUUAAGCACAUUCAGGGGGAGGGCUUUGUGGGAAGCGCUUAGUGUCAGUGCAGUAGUUGUAGAUCAUGUAAUUCUUCUGCACCCACCUCAGCCUUGCCUGGCUGGUGGAGUCCAGCUCAUGUUUCAUCCAUGGACUGUUGCUGGAGGAUGGAGACUUGGAACUGCAUGAGGAUGCUCCUGAAGACCACACACAGGCAUUACUGGCAUCAAAGUUCCUGUAGGAGGCAGUGAAGGGUGCUUGGGACCAGUCUGUUUUUACGAGUCCACCUCUUGUAGCCCAGUCAUCUGCAUUCCAGAGACUGGAGUAUAUCCUCAUGGGCUGCUUCUUUGGGAAUGGAAUUCCCAUGGCCUCCAGGUUCUUGAACACUCUAAUGGGUGUGCCAUCCACUGAGAAUCUGUACAAAAAAAUUCAACCCCAAGUUGAGGAUUAAAUUAAUCAAUCUUAUAUGAUAGUGAUAUGUAUUUGUAGCAGUUAUGCAAGGGUUCUCACAGGAUGUUAUGGGGAUUCCAGAGGACGGAAUAUGUGUGAAAGUUGGCAGUGGGAUCGAACCAGAGGUAGAACUGUUGCUCUCUGUUGCCCUUCCCUUGGCUGAACACAUUGGUGUGAAGAAUGUAAGGAUCACCACUGAGGUUCCCCAAGAAUUCAAAGUCUAUCUCAUCAUGGGUUGACCCUAGUGACGAAAACUGCAACACAUGAAGCCAAGAUUAAAAAGAAGCUGUACUCCCCAACUUCACCUUUAUUGCAACAUAUAAAUAUAUAAUAAAGACUAAGUCUUCACGUUAUUUUCUCGAUCAUAAAAUAUUUGGAAAUAAAUUUUAUCCAUUGAAUUUUGACUAGUUGUCAAUAUUUUGGAUAUACCUACGUAUGAGUAUACCUCCGGAAGUACUGCAAAUUUUUUCUAAAAACUAAGACUAAUAGAAAAGUUAGUCAUACAUAGUAGGCGGUGACCGUGCCUGCAGAGUUGCCAGGGACAAGCUUAAGCUGCAUAUCGAUCUUUCCAAACAAAUACUCAUUCUUGGACUUGAACCCUGAGCCAGAUGCUCUGUCCAAGGAGAGAGUGAGGAGCUGGCCCUUGUCAAGCAGCUUAGCACGGUCAUUUCCCCAAGUGAUGUCAAACUCUUGGUAAAAAUUGCCAGCAGAGGCAGCCAUGAGAGAGCAAAACAUGUAUACAACCAACCCCAAUAGAGAAGAUGAAGAAAAAGGAGAAGAAGCCAUUGAAUAAGUGACUGAGACUUGGAAGUGGUAUUUUAGUUGGGGUGGGAUAAUUGAGCAUUUUGUUGGCAUUUUAUAGGAGGGAAGAGAUAGAGAUGAAGAUCGAAGAGAGAAAAGGAGAGGUUAAUUUUGAGUCUCAAGCCAAGUACUAGCCAGCCAUGAGUCUGCAUGGGGGGGCUCGAAGUUGGGUACAGUUGGCUAAGUGAAAGUGAUAAGUCAUUAAUGACAUCCCAACCACUACUCACAAUACUUGGUUCUCGAGAGAAGACACCUGAUUUGCCCCCUCUCCAAGAGAUCAUCACCAAUUCUUAGCCUAUUUUAGAUUAGAGCAAUUGAGAAGAUAAGCUCAAACCCUAGUGUUAUGCUUGAGGAUGUGCCAAGAUUUUAUUGGUUGAUUGGCUUCAAAUUUCAAGUUUUCUAUUUUAUCAAUUCACUUUAGGCAUGAGGUUGAUGUAUUUUUUAGAACAUGCAUGUGAAUAAGUUAUAUUUAUAUGACUGAAUCAUCUCUUUCUCGACUAAUUUAACUUGGAAAGGAGCAUUACUGUUGGAGGAGAUGGGCACACCUGUGAAAAACCUUACGACUUUUGUCAAGCAUUAGUGGUAAAGUUAAGUACACUGCAUCAGAAAAAGAAAAAGAAAAAAAUAUAUAAAAGAAAUAGGGGAGGAGGACUUGGACUUAUGAUGUGAUGCUUUUCAAUUGGUAUCUUAGCUGUGGAGCUAUUCAGAUAACAUCUUACUACUAUUGAUGGUGGGGGCUAUUCAGAUAAUAUCUUACUACUAUUGAUGGUGGACAAACAUCAGUUUGUUACAAAUUUAGUGGCUUGCAUCUGGAUGGAGAGAGAGAGAGAGAGAAAGAGAGAUAGAGAGAGAAGUGCGUGGCUAACAAGUGGCUUGUGUUUGAAGAUAAAAGAGACGUGUUCGAAUAAGAAAAGAGUGACAAAAAAAGGGGAGAGAAAGAGAGUAAAAAGAUCUUAAGAUAUAUAAAAUUUUCAUAUAUACUUAGAUUUUUUUUCACAUACCAACCUAGUAAAAGGUUAAAAUUAAUAUCUAAAUGAAAUUCAAAGCAAAAGACCAAGUAAAAAUAAAUUGGGUCUUAGUAGGAUGUUUACUUUCCUUAGGGCUAGUACAAUCUAUAGACUAGUUGCAAACGAGUAAAAUUGAUUAGGUAAUGUUAAUUAUUCUUAAAUCAUAUUUCUUUUAAAUUAAAUUUCAAUGAUAGAAUGAAACACAUCUUUAUUCUUUCUUCUUUUUUUCUUUUCAAUCCCAUAGUGAUAUUCCAUUGAUUCAAUUAUUUGAAUAAGCAUGAUGUCUUUUAGUGGGAUCCUAUUAUUCUAGAAUGUGGAAUAGGCAGGAUCAAAUCCAAUCAGCUUGAUGGUAUGUUUGAAAAGGAAUGGUUUGUGGAAAAAUGAAAGACAUCUCAACCAUCUUCCUCACUCAAGGAAAUUUUACUUUAAAAAAUAAUUGUUUUAAAGGUAAAUAUAAAAAUACGAAACUUUUUCUCAUUGGUUUUAUUUUUAUCCAAAUUUAUCUUUUUAAAAGAUAACUUCAUUUUUAGCCUUUUUCUUUUUAAAAGACAAUUCAUUUUAUAUUGAAUUCAAUUUUUUAUCCUAAACUAAAUUUUUUAAUAGAUUGGCUCACUUUUACACUAAACUCAUAUUUUAAAAAUGCGACUUCUACUUGAAAUAAAAAAAAGUAUGAUUAUUUAAUAAUUAAUUUUUGUGGUACAUUUUUUUAAAACAAAUACAUUACUUUUACAUAAAACUUGUUCACUCAAUUGCCUCUCGCUCUUGGUAAUUUGCAGCAAUUAACAUCACAAAACUUUUCAUUUAUAUCUAUAAUCCUGUUGAUCAUAGAAUUUUGUAAUUGGUAAUUUCAAGAAAAUACAAACAAGUUAUAAUUUUUAUUUUUAUUUCUACAAGGGAAAUUCACUUAAUUUUAAAUAAACAUUAAAAACUCUUAUUUAAAUUGAUAUUUUAAAAGAUAAAUCUCUUUUCUAAAUUCCAUAUGAGUCUUCACCCAUAUUUUAUGGUUUAAUAGAAACAUUUUAAUUUUCAAAAGCUUAAUAUAUAUAUAAAAAUAAGAGCAAUUUCUCUUAGAAAUUAUGUUAUAUUUGAUUAAAUAUUUAUGAUAACAAACUUGUAUUUUUACAAUUAUAAUUUUUAAUUAAAAAAAUAAUUCAAUUAGAACAAAAAAUUUAUAAUAUUGUUCGAUUGUGAAGUUCAAAUCAAUUUUAUUAUAUUUUGCUCAAGAUGUCAAGUGUCGAGAUAUUCAGUCAGUUUUGUUGUGCUUUGUGAAAAAAAAAAUUAUGUAUUAAUUAAUGAGUUUAUCCCUAUUAUAUAUUUAAGGUUUUAUUUUUUAAAAGUAUAGUCAUAAUUAAAAAGUAUUUUCAAAAGUUUGAUCGUUAUAACUAUUUUUUUGGUUCUGAAUAAUAGAUUAUUGAAUAUUUAAGAACCAAGUUUUUUUUUUUUCUUGCUGGCGUAUGGUGUGAUUAAGAAAUAUCCCAAAUAUAAAAAUAUAGGAAAAGUGGGAUAUUUUGGGUGUCGGGGACUCUUGGCACCAAACUCUGAAAGGACUAUCAUCACCAUUAUUUUUGUAUUAUAAUUAUUAUUUAGAGUAAUGAUUGAAAGAAACAACACUAUGAAAAAAGAAAUGGGAGAAAGUCAUAAUACCAAGACAGAUACAUUAAAAGGGAGCAAGAAAAUGUGCCCAAAACCAGCUAGCAAUCCUUGACAGUAGUGCAGGACAUAUGGCUGGUGAAGGAGACAGGCUGACAGCAGAGGUUUAGUUAUAAAUGUUGUCCUUGCAUGAUGAUAUUAAAUAAUUGUAUCAUUACAAAGUCUCAUUGUCAGACUUUUAUAUCCACAAGUUUUCUUCUCAACAAAACUAAGAAAAUUUCUCAACCACUUGACAUAUAUUCUUUCAUUAUUUAUUGUAGACUGACCUUAUAAAAUAUAGCUUUAGGCUAUGUUAGGUCCCGAAAAGUAUAAAAAAAUAAAAAAUAAAAAAUAUAAGAAAAAUGAUUUUCUUUGUCCUAUAAAAAAAUAUAAAAAAAAAAUUAAAUAUAAUUAAAACUAAUUAAAAAUUUAUGUAUUUUUAAAUUAUUUAAUCUUUAUAUUGAUGAGUUAAAAUAAAUAAAAUGAGUUUAAAGUAACAAAAAAAAUAAUUGAUCAACUUUUAAUCUAUUUUUUUAUUUUCCUUCACUUUUUAUUUCCUUCUACUUUUCCUUUAUAUUUUCUUUUCCUCGCAUUUUCCCUCAAAUUUUCCAGGAACCAAACAUAGCCUUACAGAAUUUUUUUUUUUUAAAAAAGGGAAAAAGAAAAGAAAAAAGUUCAAAUUUUCUACACAUUUAAGGUGAUUAAUGACUUAUAAAAGAAUAGUUUCAAAAAUAGAUUUUAUAGUUUUUAGAAUAAAAGUCUAUUAGAGGAUUUGGAAUGGUGUUAACAUAUUUCUUGUGUUUUCAAUUUUUUUUUUAAAAUAAUUUUUAUCUUUAAAGUCUUUUUUCAUAUUUAUAUAAUUAUUUUUUAAAACAAUUCUAACAAAUAAGUGAAAAUAAUUGAGAUACGUUAUUAAAAAAUAAUUUUUUUUAAUUUUUUUUUUUAAAGUUCAGAUUUUCCACACAUUUAAGGUGACUGGUGACUUAUAAAAAGUUGAUGCUAUUUAGAAACAUUUUUAGAAAUGAUUAUAAAAGAAUAGUUUUUAAAAACAAAUGUGAUAUUUCUUUAGAAUAAAUUAAAGUCCAUUUAAGGAUCUAGAAUGUUCUCAACAUAUUUUUUGUAUUUUCAAAUAUUUUUUUAAAAAAAUACUUUUUAUUUUUAAUCAUUUUUCAUAUUCAUAUAAUUAUUUUUUAAAAUAGUUCUAACAAAUAAGUGAAAACAAUUUAAACCAAUUGAAGUACAUUAUCAAAAAUAAUUUAUUUUAAGAACAAUUCUCCGAAAAUGUAGUUUGAAAACAAUUAAUAACCAAACAUAUUUUCCUUUUCUUUUUCUCAAAAAUAAAAAUUGUUCUUGAGAACAAUUGCCCAAUAUAGUCUUAGGUUUGAUAGCUUUUAGUUUAAAAAGUGUUUCUAAAAAAAAAAAAUUAACUAUUUAAAAAAAUUUAGAAAAUACUUUUAAAAACUUAAAAAAUCAUUUUUACGGUUGGAAAAUUACUUAUAAUUUCUAAAGAAAUACUUAGAGUCUGUUUUGUAGUAAUUUUAGGAAAGUUUUUAAUUUUUCUAACACUUUAAAUUUUUUGUUAUUUAAAUAUUAAAAAUGUUAUAAAUGUUUCCUAAAAUUACUCUCAAACACACUCUUAGAGUCCAUUUAACAGUGAUUAUAGGAAACGUAUCUAACUUUUUUAAAGAUAAAAAUUUUCAUAUAUUAAAAAUGCUAAAAAUACUUCUUAAAACCACUACCAAACGCACUCUUAAUAGAUGAUUCUUCUAAAAAUACUUUAAAAAAAAAAAAAAAAAAGGGAAGAAGAAGAAGAAGAAAACACUUCCACUAAAAAAUGCAUAAACAAUAACAAAUACACUUAAAAAGUUGUUCAAUGUUGGUCUUGAAAUUCAUUGCCUCAAGCUAGCAUUAAGAGAAUUAAGUAACUGGGUUGGGCUUUGCUCGGGGCAACCUCUCAUGGCCCAAUUAAGUUUUCAGGCUGGACCAAAGUAGGAAGCCCGGGCCAAGCUCAACCUUGGCGUGUAAGUACCUCGAGCAUAAAUCUAGAUGUAGAGUUAGGCUUAGAUUGGGUUAGUGAAAUUUAUACAAAAAAUAUAUAAAAAUAAAAUAAAAUCGGCCUAGCGAAUUACAUAACUUGGAUUGACCACAUUGGAACUACUUCGGUUGAGUUCCUUACCAAUGUGAUUAAUACAAAUUCAAUGACUAAGAUUUGAUUUUGCUCAAUCCAACGGGUGAAAAAAAAAUGGAAAAAUGGAAAAAUGGAGGAUAGAGGUUGAUAGAAUUAAAAAAUAAAUAAAAUUGAAGGAGACUUUUCCUUGACCUAACCCAAAUAAGGAAAGCGCAAGUGGAGGGCUAAAAAUGUUCAAAAUGUUUUCUUAAAUUAUUAUCAAACAAAUGAUAGUAUUUUUAUCUAAAGUAUUUUCAGUAAAAUUAUUUUUUUUAAAGCAUUUUUGAAAAAAUCAUUUAUCUAGUAUUUUUUUAGGAGACAUUAUAAAUAUUUUUUCAAUAUUUUUAAAAGUGUUUCCAAAUUUGUUAAACACCUUUUUUUUUUGUGCCUAAAAAUCCUUUCUUAUAUUAAAAAUGUUUUCUAAAAAUACUAUCAAACAGAACUCUUAAUAAAUACUUCCUCUAAAAAUCAAUUAUUUGUUGUAUAGCAAAUUAUUAAAAAUACUACCAAAGAAAGAUUCUUUUCUUUAGAUUACAACACUAACUAUUUCUUUAUAAAACCUUUUUUUAUAUAGAAAUGCUAUUGAUAAAAAUAUUAUAGUUUGAAAGCACUUUUAUUAAAAUCACUUCGAGUACAUAAGCUAUGUUUUCAAAAAUAUGAAGAGGUCUUUUUCCCUUAAUAGCAUUUUUAGUGGAUUAAAAGCAUAUCUUUAGUGAUUAAUUUGAGAAUGAUAAAAAAAUAUUAUUUUUUAAGACAUUUAAAAAUAAUAUUUUAGUUGAAGAGUGCAUUUACCAAUAAUUCUAAAAAAUGUUUUUAAUUUUUUUAUCUUUCAAGUAUUAGAAACAUUAGAAACCUUUUAAGCAUUUACUAAAGUCACUAUCAAAAAUAUUUGAAGAAAUUUAGAAACAAUUUUAGGUCAAAAUAUGUUGGUGGGAAGGUAACUAUUUUUGAAUUCAUUUCAAAUAUCCCAAAUUAGAAAAUUAGCUUUGAGUGAGAUUUUUGGAAAAAUUCUAAUUAUUUAUCAUCUAUUAACCAUUUAAUCUAAUAGAAAUGCCAAUUUAGCAAUAUUUUGGCAAAAUAAUACUUAAAAAAGAGUCCUUAAAAAGUUUUUGCAAAUAAUUACUAAUUAUUUUUAGGAAUAAAUUCCAUUUAAUAAUUCAAAUACAAAGAAUAAUUAUUUUAAUUCAUUCUUAUAAAGAUAUUAUACAUUUAAAAAACAAUUGAAAAUCCCUUAAAUUUAUAUAUAUAUAUAUAUAUAUAUAUAUAUAUAUAUUUUUUUUUUUUUUAAAUUCUCAAAUCCAUUUUGGAUCAAAAAUUUUAAGUGAAAAACUAAUGUCGGUUGAAAAUUUUUGGAAGACCUAAAAUUCCUAAUAACUGAUAUCUCGGGAAUAGAAUAUCAAAGAAGCGUCUGAGAAGUAGAUGAAAAAAACAUUUGUGAGCAACGCGGUUUCAAGGAGUUUGAUUCGCUUUUGUUUUGUCACUCAAUGGGGGUGGUGGCUUUAGGUAUGGGCAAUGAAUGGUGUUUGGGAAAUGGGAAAGUGGGUCUACACUUUUCUCUUUCAAAUUCGUGCAAAAUCCGCUUGAAAAUGAACUGGGUUUUGCUAUUUGAUGACCCCUCUUCUUUACUUACAUUAGGAGUCCAUCUGUAUACAGCUGCUGACUGAAGCUUCCUCAUCUCCUUCCAAUUCCCCCAGAACUUCUACUAUAAAACCCCACAUACCCACGCUAUUCUCUUCACUUCCAUACUCGAGCUGUUUUUCAUUUCUCAUCUCUAUAUUCGCAUUCAAUGGCUUCUCCUUCUACUUCAAAUCUUUCACCAAAGUUGCUCUUGCUCUCUCUUCUGUUUGGUUCCUUUGUGGUUGCUUCUGUUGGUAACUUGUACCAAGAUUUGGAUAUCACUUGGGGUGAUGGCAGAGCCAAGAUCCUCGACAAUGGACAGCUUCUUACUCUCUCCCUUGACAAAGCCUCUGGCUCUGGCUUCCAGUCCCAGGAUGAAUAUCUGUUUGGGAAGAUUGAUAUGCAGCUGAAGCUUGUGCCUGGUAACUCUGCUGGCACAGUCACUGCCUACUAUGUAAAGCCUCCUCUUUACCAAGCGUUUUUCCAUUAAAUGCUUUCUUGGUUUCAUCUUCUUCUGACUCACAAAUCAAUAUCCUGAUUUCUGUAAUUGCAGCUAUCUUCACAAGGGCCUACCCAUGAUGAGAUAGAUUUUGAAUUCUUGGGGAAUCUCAGUGGGGAUCCAUACAUUCUUCACACUAAUGUGUUCAGCCAAGGCAAGGGAAACAGAGAGCAGCAGUUCUACCUCUGGUUCGACCCUACUGCCGAUUUCCACACAUAUUCUGUUCUCUGGAAUCCUCAGCGCAUUAUGUAAGUAUUAUUAUCCUGAUCUCCAAAACUGCAAUCUGGUUUAUGUUUUUUGGGUUUUGGCAUUGAUUUGCUCAUCCGGGGUAUCUCUGUUUCAGCUUCUCUGUGGAUGGCACCCCCAUCAGAGAGUUCAAGAACUCAGAGUCCAUAGGUGUUCCAUACCCCAAGAACCAGCCCAUGAGGAUAUACUCCAGUCUCUGGAAUGCUGAUGACUGGGCAACAAGAGGUGGGCUGGUGAAGACAGACUGGAGCCUAGCCCCCUUCACAGCCUCCUACAGGAACUUCAAUGCCAAUGCAUGUGUUUGGUCCUCUGGAUCAUCUUCUUGCAGUUCAAACUCUCCAUCUUCUACCUCCACCAAUGGUGGAUGGUACUCACAGGAGCUUGAUUCCACAAGCCAAGAGAGAAUGAAAUGGGUGCAGAAGAACUACAUGAUCUACAAUUACUGCACAGACACAAAGCGAUUCCCACAAGGCCUUCCUCUUGAAUGCACUGCCACUACCACGUCCUAGAAAGAACCGAAUCUAAGUCCAUUCAAUCAAUUCUAUUCUUUCAUUCUUUAUCAUUAUAGUUGCUGUUACAGCAGCAGAAACAUCAUACUGUUUACAUUGUAAUAUAUGAGCCAAUUCGGAUAAUAAAAGAUUCUUUAUGAAUGACAUGCACUGUUCUUCGAGCCUCAAUUUGGAUGUCAGAAACCACUAGAGAAAGAAAAGGGCAUUGUCGAAAAUAACUGAAGAGAUUAACCAUUGUCAAUAUAAUUUUUAGCUUUUUUUCAAUUUGUUUUCCCUGUUCUUUAACUUAUGAGACACAGAUGGGGCCUCGAACCAAAUUUAAGGAGUAAAUAAUUUUGAUUUCCUUCCUUUAAAUUGCAAACAGCAAGAAAGUACAGUUAAAACCACAAACCAAGCACUGAGUCACAUAAAAGCUCCAAGCAUGAUGAAGGGGGCAAACAGACACGUGAAAAAUCACCAAUCCAUGAACCCAAAAACAGUCCCAUGCCCUAUGAGUUAUCUAUUGUUAUUUUCUGUCCUGCCUCCUUUGCUUGUGGAAGUCAGCAAGCCUCUUUAUGGUGCUGGUGAUAUGUAGAUUGGGUGUGGACUCAUCUUAACAUUGUAAAUGUGUUUUAAAGUUGGGAAUGAUCUUUAGCCUCAGAAAGAACAAAUAUCUAUUCAUUGGGAUUGGAUUGUUAUAAAUGAUAUUAAAAUCGAUCUCUAACCCCUCACGUGAGAAUUUGUAUAGUCCCGCAAAAGAUGUACGUCUAUUUUGCCCCACAAUUCUAUGAAACACAACAACGACGUUAUGUCUAUAUGAGGGGUGGAUAAUUGUGAUAUCUUAUAUCGGAUGAGGAGGAAAUUUUUCUGGAGCUAUAUAAAUGUAUUAACUCCUCUUAAUCUUAUAAAAACAUUUUAAAGCUGUCAGGAUCUUUUGAGUCUAGAGCGGACAAUAUCGUUUAACAUACGAGUCUGAUCCUCUUCUUAUGACAGAUAAAUUGAUUAUUAGUUACUUCUAUUACAAUAGAUAAUACAUGAAUACUAAGCCACCUCUGAUUUUUGUUUUAUGUUUUUGUUUAAAGUUUCUCCCCUGUUCACAUUAGGUAAGCUCUACUGUAUGUGAGUAGGUAACUGGAUCUUACUAUGGGUGUUGAACAGGCAGUGAUGGAGUCUUGGGCAGGUGCUGCUUGUCUUUCUCUUGUUGUUUUGACAUUUAGGAUCUUUAUACUUGGAAAAAGUGGAUGACAGUGGGUGGAGUUAUCUAUAUAGGAAGCUCUUGUCUAGCACAUUUUUACACUAACACGCUCUUUUAAAGUUUGGUUCUGGUAAAAAGAAAUGACUUCAAUCAAUUAAUCAGCAUCCACCAAUCAUGACAUAUUCUUAUUGAGAUGAUAUUACAGAGAAGUGAAUACAUUGUAAUGUGGUGUCUGGUGAAGAUGCUCUAAUUUUUCAAAUAAUUCAGUGAGUAGGAAGAGAAUGAUCAUUCUUUGAAUAUAACACUUUAUUAAACAUAUGCAGCAAAAGAUGCAAGAGAGAGGACUUAGAUUUUGUUAGCACAAGGGACUUCAAAGGAGGAGAACUUGCGUUCUCUUUGGUCGGAAGAAGCUAUUUAUAGAGUUUUUCCUUGGGUUUCUAAUGAAAUUUCUUACUUAUUCAGAUCUCUUUCAUUUUAGUAGGAUUGGCAACUUUAUAAACCUUGGAACUAUGAUCUUUGACUAUUCUUGUUCUUGCAGUAGUUUUUUUUCUCUGAUAUAUGUUUUUGUAGUCAAGCCAUCAUGUUGGUGAUUUUACUGGCCUCCAGAAAAAAUGAAUACUUUGAGAUGCCCAAAGUGGGGAUUGUUAAAUCUUCUGCACCUCCAUCUGGCAUUUUUGUUUUUUUUUCUGUACUCUUAAUUCAGUGCAAAUAAUAAGAAAUAAACUGCAUAUGAGAAUCACCUGCCUUUUUCGGGCUGUAACUCGGCUUGUGCUAUCAGUGUUUAUUUGUUGUCUGAUUGAUGCACUUGCAGCUACCAACUGGCAGUGAUGAUGGCUUGGGCAGGUGCUAUUUGUCUUUCUCUCCCCUGUUUUUUGGCAUUUAGGAUCCUUCACACUAGGAAAAAUGUCUAGGGAAGCUGUAGUCCAGCACAUUUUUACACUGAAAUGCCCUUUUGUGGUCUGGAACUUAAGCCACAAGCUUUACUACAGUAAAAAGAAAAUGAUUGGAAUCAAGUAAUGAUCAAACCAAUUGAUCAGGACAACUUUUUGUUAAGCUGUUAACAACUUUGAUAUGCUGAAAAGGAUUCCAAACCUGGUUGGGGGACGCGGCAGAAGUUAAAAGCAAUGAUAUUUGCUCAGUACUUUUCCAUUGGAAUACCGUGUGAUUGUGAUGAUUUUAAAAAUAUCAGGAGGAAGUCGGUUGUGGUUGUAUUGUGAGUACUGAUGAAGGAGGCCCGUUUGCAAAUGGGUUACCACUGCCACCUGUAUACAACUCAUUUUUUGGCUCUCCAACUUUGAACCUUCCCAGAAUUAACACACCCCUCUCUCUCCUCCCUUAGUAUAAAUGUCGGCUGAGAAAUCAAUUUCAAUUCACUGAAAUCAAACAUCUUCUCUUCAAACACCUCUUACCAACCAUACAGCACAUCCCUCAAUGGCACCCAUCUAUUCUUCUUCUUCAGCUGUUUCUACGGCCCUGCUAAUCUCUGUAGUGGUAAGCUUCUUAAUGGCUGCCUCAGCAGGUAACUUCUACCAAGACUUUGGCAUCACUUGGGGGGAUGGGCGUGCUAAGAUACUCGACAAUGGAGAGUUUCUCACUCUUUCCCUUGACAAGACCUCUGGAUCUGGUUUCCAGUCCAAGAAUGAGUAUUUGUUUGGGAAGAUUGACAUGCAGCUCAAACUUGUUCCUGGAAACUCUGCUGGCACCGUCACUGCCUACUAUGUAAGCCCGCCUUUCAUAUUACUUGUUGCACAUCAUCCUCCAUUUGAUGAUCAUUUGUUCUCCAGAUUAAUAUGUAGUUCUCAUUCAUGUAUGUGUGGAUUUGCAGUUAUCUUCACAAGGGCCAACCCAUGAUGAAAUCGACUUUGAAUUCCUGGGGAACCUCAGUGGGGAUCCAUAUAUCCUUCACACUAAUGUGUUCAGCCAAGGCAAGGGAAAUAGAGAGCAGCAGUUCUACCUGUGGUUUGACCCAACUGCCGAUUUUCACACCUAUUCCAUUCUCUGGAAUCCCCAGCGCAUUAUGUAAGUACUAUUAUCCAAAUCUUCAAAACUGCAAUCUGGUUUAUGUUUUUUGCGUUUUCAUAUUGAUUUACUCGUCUGGGGUAUCUCUGUUUCAGCUUCUCUGUGGAUGGCACCCCCAUCAGAGAGUUCAAGAACUCUGAGUCAAUUGGUGUUCCAUACCUAAAGAAUCAGCCCAUGAGAAUAUACUCCAGUCUAUGGAAUGCUGAUGACUGGGCAACAAGAGGUGGGCUCAUCAAGACAGACUGGACCCAAGCCCCCUUCACUGCUUCCUAUAGGAACUUCAAUGCAGAUGCCUGCAUUUGGUCUUCUGGAGCAUCUUCUUGCAGUUCAAAUACCCCCACUUCUAUCUCCCCCAGUACUGACUGGUACUCACAAGAGCUAGAUUCCACAAGCCAAGAGAGAAUGAAAUGGGUGCAGAAGAAUUACAUGAUCUACAAUUACUGCACUGACACAAAGCGAUUCCCACAAGGCCUUCCUCCUGAAUGCACUGCAACCACCACAUCCUAGAAGGAAACUCAACAUUAAGGCCAUUCAGUUGAUGCUUUCUUUGUUGGCUUGUAUCAUUUUUGUAACUCUAUUCUUUCAUUUUUUUUUUUUAUCAUUUAAUUGUCAUCAAAACAACAGAAGCCUCACAUUGUUUACAGUAUAAUAUAUGAGGAUUUCUGAGUAACUUUUAUCAUCACUUAUUGCUUCAAAGUUCAAAUGAAAUAGGGUGGGAGAUUUGAAACUCAAUCUAAUGAUCAUCAGUGCGGUAGAAAAGUGUUCUCGUCCGUGCCAAUCUCUGUAAUGGUUAGCUUCAUAAUGGCUGCCUCUGCAGGUAACUUCUACCAAGCUUUGACAUCACUUGGGGAGAUAGGCUUGCCAAUAUACUCAUCAAUGGGGAGCUUCUUACUCUUCCCUAGACUUCAUGAAAAUUUCAGCAUUCUUUAACAAAGAAGUCUUGUAAUCUAAUCAUAUUGAGAAGUGACAGUGACACGAUUCAAUUCGCAGUGGCGUUUGUUAUUUUAACUUAGGUAAGCAAGUCGUUUUAAAAUUUAAGAUAAAAGUUAAAAAAAAUAAAAUACUUUUUUCUUUCAAAUAAAGUUGUUUUAAAAAAUAAUAAUAAUUCAAAAAAACCAAACCGUUUUAAAAAUACUAAACCCUCUAAACAUUUUUUUUAAGACUUAAUUUUUAGUAUCCUAAUUUUAAAAAAAAAAAAAAUUGGUUUUAAAUAUAUAAGGUAAAUUUAUUCUUUUAUACAAAAUGUUCUUUUUAUAUAGAAUUUAUUUUUAUUUUUUUUAAAAAAAAAAGGUGUAUCCAAACAAAUAUUAAAAGUAUAAUAAUUUUAAAAACUAUUUAAAAUUUUGAGUUACUACCUCAAAUUUAAAACAAAAAAAUUAAAGUGAUUCUUAGUAUAUUGUAAUCAAUACUUUUUAUAUAAGAUGUUUUACUUCUAUAUAGAAAUCAAAAAGUGAAAUCCAAAUGAUGAUUGGUAUAUGUUUAGAUAGUUUUUUUUUAUAAGAUAAAAAUAAUUAUUAUUAUUUUGUACAAAAAAAAAAAAAAAGAUUUAUAUUGUAUCUUUAAAGUCACUUCAAAAGUUUUAAAAUUUGAGAUGGUAAAAAAAAAAUUAUAACUCAAUUUUUUUUAAAUAUUUUUAAAAUCAUUAUAUUUUCAAUAAAAAUAUCUAAAAAUUAUGGCAUUUUAUAUAAAUAUUACUAUUAUUUUUUAUUCAAAAAUAUAAAAUAAGAAAUGUAUUAGAUAGACACUAGUAUUAAAUAUUAUUUAGACUUAAAUUAAACUACAAUCUAUUAAAUCCACUGUAAUCAUUAUUGAAAAGUAACUUAAUUACAUUUGGAAUUAACUUCAUCGUAUCCGUAGGUCCAUCGUAUAAUUUGGUCAUUAUUGGAAAGUAAUAUACUCAUGUAUGAAAGUAAGUUGAUCAUAUUUAGGAGAUGAAUUGGUUAUCCAUAUGAAUUUAAUUAUUAAAACUGAAGAUAUCAUACCUCUACCACCCUACAAUGCACAAUGUAGACAAAGGUCCAUCAAUAUUACACAUUAAGCCCCAAAGCCCAAUAUAGAAAUGAGUCAAAUGACAGAUAGAUACUUCAAAACUUGAACCAAAAAGUGUGAAGUAGUUAUUUUCAACACUAGAGAUACAUUUCCAAAAAUCAUAAGUUUAUCUCAAUGACAAACAUAGUUUUCAAGUAAAUUAAAGAAAUUAACUUUCACAAGCUUAAGAAUACAAUUAAAUCAACUAGGUGGGGGUGGUUGGUUCAAACUUCAGGGACGGUGGUGGCUCUAGGUAUGGAUAAUAAUUGGUGUUUUGGUAGAAGGGAAAGUGGUUUGGCCCUUCUGUUUCUUUUUUCAAGUGCAUGCAUAGACCGUGUCAAAAUGAAAGUGGGUUGCGCUUGUGCCAUCAGAUGACAGCUAUUGCCUUCACAUAUUGAGCUCAACUGUGAACAGCUGCUGACUCAUCCUUCCUUCUCUCCUUCCAGGCUUCCGCUUUUCCCCCUCACCAUCUAUACUAUAAAACCCCACGUACCCACACCGUUCUCCUCACUUCCACACUCCAAACUUCUCCCCAUUUCCCAUCCCUAUAUUCACAUUCAAUGGCUUCUCCCUCUACUUCGAAUCUGUCACCAAAGUUGCUCUUGAUGUCUCUUCUGCUUGGUUCCUUUGUGGUUGCUUCUGUUGGUAACUUGUACCAAGAUUUUGAUCUCACUUGGGGUGAUGGCAGAGCCAAGAUCCUCAACAAUGGACAGCUUCUUACUCUCUCCCUUGACAAAGCCUCUGGCUCUGGCUUCCAGUCCAAGAAUGAGUAUCUGUUUGGGAAGAUUGAUAUGCAGCUGAAGCUUGUGCCUGGAAACUCUGCUGGCACUGUCACUGCCUACUAUGUAAGCCUCCUCUUUACCAAGUGUUUUUGCAUCAAAUGCUUUCUUGGUUUUAUCUUCUUCUGACUCACAAACCAAUACCUGCUUUGUGUAAUUGCAGCUAUCUUCACAAGGGCCUACCCAUGAUGAGAUAGAUUUUGAAUUCUUGGGGAAUCUCAGUGGUGAUCCAUACAUUCUUCACACUAAUGUGUUCAGCCAAGGAAAGGGAAACAGAGAACAGCAGUUCUACCUCUGGUUUGACCCCACUGCUGAUUUCCACACCUAUUCCAUCCUCUGGAAUCCCCAGCGGAUUAUGUAAGCACUAUAGUAAUUAAUCUUCAAAAUUGCAAUCUGGUUUACGUUUUUCGGGUUUUUGUAUUGAUUUACUCAUCUGGGGUAUCUCUGUUUCAGCUUCUCUGUGGAUGGCACCCCCAUUAGAGAGUUCAAGAACUCUGAGUCCAUUGGUGUUCCAUUCCCAAAGAACCAGCCCAUGAGGAUAUACUCCAGUCUCUGGAAUGCAGAUGACUGGGCAACAAGAGGUGGUCUUGUGAAGACAGACUGGAGCCAAGCACCUUUCACAGCCUCCUACAGGAACUUCAAUGCCAAUGCUUGUGUUUGGUCCUCUGGAUCAUCUUCUUGCAGUUCAACCUCUCCAUCUUCUACAUCCACCAAUAGUGGAUGGUACUCACAAGAACUAGAUUCCACAAGCCAAGAGAGAAUGAAAUGGGUGCAGAAGAACUACAUGAUCUACAAUUACUGCACAGACACAAAGAGAUUCCCACAGGGCCUUUCCCCUGAAUGCACUGCCACCACCACAUCCUAGAGGAAACUCAACCUUAAAGGCCAUUCAGUUAGAUAGUUUGCCUCUGUAGGUUUCCUCAGUUCUGUUCUUUCAUUCUUUAUCAUUUUAGUCGGUAUCACCACAGCUCAUUGUUUACAUUGAAAUAUAUGAGAUGAAUAAAAAAUCCUUUUAGCCCUUUUUCUGUUUCUUCUCCUUGUUCUUUAACUUCUGACAGAUACAGAUUGGGCCUUAUACCAAAUUUAAAGAGUAAAUAAUCUUAAUUUCUUUCCACUUUAAUCACAAACAGCAAGAAACUUCAGUUAAGAGUCACCAAAACUAUGUACUGAGUCACACAAGAAGCUCCAUGCAUGAUGAAGGCGGCACACAGACAAAUGUAAAAUCGCCCCCAAAUCCAUGAACCCUAUAAAAUAAUAUUUUUCAAACUAAGAGAAAUUAUUACCUUAAUGGCAUGGUUGAUUUAUUCAUAAAUGAAUAAUUUAUUAAUUUAUUGAUAAAUAAAUAAUUAUCAAUUAAUAAAGAAUAUUAUAUUCGUAUUAUAUAGUUCUUGUACAUAUGACUUAUUAAUCUAAAAAUAAUAGAUAUAAUAAAAAGUUAAUAUAUAGAAACUUAAGAAACCUGAAAAAAUAAAAAAUGGUUAUUAAUUAUAAAAGAUAGCGGGACUCUGAAAAGAAAAAAAUGUAGUAUCAAAACUUAAAAAUUUAUUUGAUAAUAAUUUUAAGUAACACAUUUAAUUUUAAAAGCAUUUUUUUUAAAAAAAGAAAUAAAAAAGACAUUUCACAAGAUUUGGAAAACACUUUUAAAAAUUAAUAAAAAAAGGUUUUCAACAAAAACACUUUUGAAGAGAAACAAUGUCAAAUUCACUUUUAAUUGCUAAAACAUAAAUAUUAUUCAUAAAUUUUUUUAAACUCUUAUAUAUUUCUAAAAUAAUAUUAUUAUCUUUUAUAUUUAAUAAAGUUAUUAAUUUAGUACACAGCUCGAGGCGUUAUCGAGCCUUUACCGUGUCUCCGAUGUUCACAUUGGGUAAGCUCUUCGAUAUGUUGUUGGCUGGCAAGGAGAUGAGCAGGUGACUGGAUCUUGCCAGUGGUGUUCAACUUGCAAUUACAAAUUUACAACUGGCCAUGAUGAUGGCUUGGGCAGGUGCUACUUAUCUUUCUCACCCUGUUUUGGCAUUUAGGAUCUUUAGACUUGGAAAAAAGUGGAUGACAGUGGGUGGUGGAGUGAUGUAUGUAGGAAGCUCUGGUCCAGCACAUUUUUACACUAGAGCCCUCUUUUGAGGUUUGGUUCUGGUAAAAGGAAAAUGAUUUGAAUCAAGUAACCAUCAUCAUCAACUAAUCAUGACAAGUUUUUUUUUUUGAACUGUUUGAUAUAUUGGAAAGGGACAAAACCAGGUUGGGGAAGCAGGUAGACGAGGCAGAAGUAAGAUCUAUGAUACUUCCUGAGUAGUUUUAUAUUGCAAAACCGUGUGGUUCUGAUGAUUUAAAAAGUAUUAGUUGGGAGGAGGAAGCCCAUUUGUAGAUAUGGUUGCCACUGCCAUCUGUAUACAACUUAUUCUUUGGUCUCCCACUUUGAACCUUCCUGCAGCACCCUCUCAAGCUCACUAGAUCUCUCCCACCAAGUAUAAAUUGGAGUUGGAAGAGAUCAAUUUCAAGUCACUAACAUCAAACUUCUUCUCUUCAAACACCUCUUAGCAACUAUAUAGCAUAUCCCUCAAUGGCACCCAUCUAUUCCUCUUGUUCAACUGUGACAACAACCCUGCUCAUCUCUGUAUCUCUACAUUGAUCAUAGGAUAUAUGUAUGAAUUCUGCAUGUUUUAUUGCAGAUAAAUGAGUGGUUAUUCAGAGGGCAGUGCAUUGUAAUGGCAGCCUCCAAAUCAUCUUAGUUCAUUCAAAACAUUGAGCAGUUUAUUAUAACAUCCUUUCUAGUGCAGGAUUACCAGCUAGAGAGAAGAGUUCUUGAUACUGAUAUAUGUAGUACAGCUCUAAUAGAAGUUGUUCUAAACCUUCAAGGUUUAAAUGAAGGUGGCUUCCUAAUCUUAGUUGCUUGCUCGAAGCUAUAUGCAAUCUCGAUCAUAUUGUCACUAGUUUUAUGGGGCAUCCCAGGUUGGUGUAAAAAGUUGACAAAAGCUACCAUGAAAAAAGAUAUUAUUUAUUGUAAUUUUUCUCUUCAUUUUUUAAGUGAUACACCGGGUGAUAGUAUGACAAUUGAAAUGAAUCACAAUAAAUUAUUCAAAUAACAAAAAUUAUUACAUUGUUUGAAUUAAUUUUUAUUUUUAUUAAUAAAAUAAUUAAAUAUUUUAUAUCGAAGUUAUAAAUAUUUUUUAUUUUUAAAAAUAAAAAAAUUAUCUACAUACCAAUAUACAAUUUGUAUGUAUACACAGAAAAAUCAUUAAAACAUUCAUAGAUAAGGAUGAAAAUAUUGGUUUUUACAAAUAUAUUAGUAAUUGGAUUUUAUGAAUAUAUUAAAAAAUAUUGAUGAAAAUUUUAAUAAAAGAUAUCAAUAGGACGAAAUUAAUAAAACCUCAUACAAAAUGUUGAAAAAAAAUUCUAAAAGAUAAUAGAAGAAACAACAGUAAAGUUAUAUAUAUAUAUAUAAUUUUUAUGAUAUCAAGUAAUAUUAUAUAGAACUCGGAAAUAUAUUUAUAGAUGAAUGUAUUCAAAAUAAAAGAGAAUUAUUAUAUAUUAUUUUCAAAUUUAUGUUUCUGUUACUUUCUUAAAGAAAUGUUUUGUUGAUUUUGAGAAUCUCCUUUGAUUUUUAUAGCCGUUUGUGGUUGAUGGCAUAGAGAUCAUAGUAAAUAAUUACAAUUUUCUGACCAUUUUUCUGGCCUAUUGUUUUGUUUCGUGAAAUUGAAAAUUUGGUAAUAAAAACCUUUUUCCAAUUUGUAACACUGAAAACUUGAAGUUGCAAAAAAGGUAAAUUCAUGGAAGUUUGUGAUUGACAUGUGAUGGUUUAAAUUUUAGCCUGUGUGGGCUACAAUGGAAAUUUCAGUGGCUAAAUGUAACUAGUUUCUGCAACAUGUUUUUAACACGCUAGGCAAGAAAAUUUGUUAAUAUUUUUUUUCUCAAUUUUAUUAAUCCAAAUAGUCUAACCAUAGAUGGAGAAUGAACAAUACAAAUAGUGGUGUGUAUCACUGAAUAUAGUUAGAGGGAGGGUUGAAUGAGACUGAUAUCUUUUUUACCAAUCUACUCUAAGAGUUUAAUUUUUGUUUUCCUGAAAUUUUUUUAUUAUUUAACAAAUUGAUAAUCAUCUAAAAUAAAUUGUUAAUUUUAUUUUUCUUCCAUUUUUCCUUUAUUUUAUUUCGUGGUUAACCAAACAAAAGAAAAUGAAUUCCUUUUUUUUUUUCCUUUAAUUUUUCAUGGAUAACCAAAUAAGUGAAAAAAUUUAUAUUUAUUUCCUUAACUUUUUCUUUUUUUCCAUUUUUUCUCCCAUUUUUCUUUCUCUUGCAUUUUCCCGAACCAAACAUAGCCUAAAAAAACAGGUUUUCUCAUAUUUAGUUUUAUCAUAGAAAAAAUAUAUAUAUAUAUAUAAGUUAAAACCUCUUUAGGAACUUCUAUCUUGACCUUACGCUAAACCAGCCCACCAACCUAUCACAGUUGACAAUUGGUUGAGCUCUGGCGGUGAGUGGCUUUUGUCAGAAGCCGAGUAGAUUUCAAUGAAGCUAGCUAGCACCGAUCUUUUGGGCUGUUACUGGGUCCAGCAUGAGCGUAUUUGCUGGGUUGGUGAUGCUUUUUCAGGUACAAGUGGAGAUGGUGGUAGCUGGGCCAGGUGUGUAAUUUGUCCUUGUCUCCCUGUUUGGCCAUUUAGGAUCCUUUUGACUGAGAAAAAGUAGCUGAUACCGACAGGAGUGAUCUCUCCAGGAGCUUCUCUUCUAGGAGAAGGCGGACGCGGCAGACAGAAAGAGUCUUGCAAUCAAUUUCCAGAUUUUUCUAUUCCAAAACCGCGUGAGUAUUGUUGAUGCCUUGCGUUCUAGGAUACACAUAGCUGCCAAGUGGACACGCGCCUUCAAUCAAGAUUGAGUCCUGACUCAGUCGGCCCUGUAAAAGGUAUCCGGAUAGGGUGUCCGGACACACCAUCCGAUGAUUUUGUUAGCCAUGACAUAAGAUGAAGAUACUAAAAGGAAAGCAGCUUUAAAUGUAUCAAGAAUACUGAUGAUGGAGGCCCACUUGUAGACGGCGCUACUGUAUACAGCUCAGUUUCUGCUCUCCAAAUAUGAACUUUCCCAGUAGUAUCAGCAUCAUUAUAACUAAGAGAUUAGAGAGAUUGAUUUCAUUGAUUCAGCAUAACCAAAUUUCUUCACUUUGAACAUUUCUUACCAACCAUACAACAUAGUUUUCAAUGGUAUCUCCAUAUUCUUCUUUAGCUUCAGGCCUGCUGAUCUCUCUACUGGUCAGCUUCUUAAUAGUUGCUUCAACAGGUAACUUGGCAUUACUUAGGGGGAUGGGCGUGCUCAGAUACUCAACAAUCAUCCCUAUUUGAUGUGAGAUAUCAGAUGGCAUUACUUAAAAUGUGUUUACAUGAUUAAGAGGAACUCACACUUUUACAGUAUUAGAAACUUUCUCCCUAUCUGAUGUGGGAUAUCACAAUCAUCCCCAUAAAAACACAACGUCCUUGUUGCAUCACAAGGGAUUACAAGGUCAAACAAACCCUUACAUUGAGGUUAAAGAUCAACUUGAUACCAUUUGUAAGACUCGUUCUUAACUAUGUAGAUUUUAUCCUCUCUAAACCCAAAAUAACCCUCAAUACUUCAAAACGCAUCUACAUAAUUAAGAGAAGUACACAUUUACAUAGCGUCAAGAGUUUAUCUCGUCUACGAUGUAGGAUAUCACAAAGCACCAUUCACUGCCUCCUACAAGAACUACAAUGUCAAUGUUUGUGUUUGGUUCUCUAGAUCAUCUUCUCACAAUUCAACCCCUCCCUUUUCUACUUCCACCAAUGGUGCAUGGUACUCAAGAGCUAAAUUCCACAAGCCAAAAAAGAAUGAAAUGAAGGCAGAAGAAUUACAUGAUCUACAAUUACUGCACGGGCAUAAAGCAAUUCCCACAAGACCAUGCUCCUAAAUGCAUUGCUGCCACCACAUCCUAAAGGAAACUCAACCCUAAUAACAUUCAGUUGACUCUUUCUUUGCUUGUAUCAUCUUGAUAAUUCUAUUCUUUCAUUCUUUAUUGAUAAUAACAACAAUUGAAUCAAGAAAAAAAGUGUGAUAUCUCAUUAAUUGUUUAAGUUAUGAACAGAGGAAUUAUUUAUACAAGGGCAAGCACUAAUUCCAUAGCAAGAUGACAUGUUGGUUGAGUGGUUACAACUGAGUAGUAGCUUGUAUAACAGUUUGGUAAUUAAUCAGUUGUUAGUUUAGUCACUGUUAACUAUCUAGCAUUUAUAAUCACGAUUUUUAUAAUGUAAUUAUGAAUUAUGAAAUUUACUUAUUCUGAAAUAUUACCUUUUUUAAUAAAUGACCAACAUAAAUAGAAAAGCUUUAGGUUAUGUUUGGUUUCCGGAAAAUACAAAGUAAAGAAAAAAAAUACAAAGGAAAGAAAAAAAAUACAAAGGAAAAUGAUCUUUUCAUGUUUGAUUGUUCUAUGAAAAAUAUAAAAAAAAUCAAAUAUAAUUAAAAUUAAUUAAAAACUUAUGUAUUUUUAAAUUAUUUAAUCUUUAUAUUGAUGAGUUAAAAUAAAUAAAAUGAGUUUGAAGUAACAAAAAAAAAUAAUUUAUCAACUUUUAAUUAAUUUUUUUAUUUUCCUUCACUUUUUCUCUCCUUCUACUUUUCUUUUGUAUUUUCUUUCCCUUACAUUUUUCUUCAAAUUUUCUAGGAACCAAACAUAGCUUUAGUCUAGGCAAAAACCUUGGAUUUGCAAUGGCAAAACUUGUGUAUUUUAUUAUUGUUCUAUAUAUACACAAAAGGACGUUACUUUACAAAAAAGAAGAAAUACAAGAAGUAUAAAUUAGGAAAAAGAAGGAAUUAUGCUCAGAGAAGAUUCAAUCACAAAUAAAGUACACCAAAAUCAAAGAUGUACAAAAACAAAAUAUUCGAUAAUACUCUCCCUCAAGUUGAAGUAUGGAGGUACGAACACCCACUUAUGAAUGAGGGAAGGAAAAACGUUAACUCUUAAAGUCUUGAUAAAGACAUCGAUUAAUUGGUCUUUGAUUUGAAUAUAUGCAAUAUGAACUAAAUCAACUUUAAUUCUUUCGCGUAUCACAUGACAAUCAAUUUCGAUGUAUUUAGUGUGUUCACAAAAUGCUAGAUUUACAACCAUAUUGAGCUUAGGUUGUUAUUGCAAAACAUGAUAGUAGGUUGCAUAUGGGUAAUGUGUAGAUCAUGGAACAAUAAAAGAAGUCAUUGAAUUUCACAAGUUGUAACCAUGACACGAUAUUUCGGCUUUAUUAGAGGUGAUUCUUUAAAAAAUCACUUGUUUAUAUAUCAAAAAUCAAAAUGGGUGUUAUUUGUAAACACUUCUUGCUUUAUUCCUAGAUUAAAUGUAAAAAAUACACUUACCUUUAAAAAGUAAUGUAUUUUAAAAAGUAUUUAAAAAAAUUGAAAUAUUAAAAAAAAAUUACUACUUCAAAUUUUAAGAAUUUUAAAAAUACAUUUUAGAGAUAUAAAGUAAAUUGAUAGUUUUAUAUAAGAAUUAUUCUAUUUUAUAUAAAAGUUAAUAUUUAUUUCUAUUUUAAAAAAUAAAUAAUAAAAAAUAUAUCCAAACAGGCAUUAAACAAUUAUUUUUUUAAAGGUCCGGGAUGAACUGUUAAUAAAAGUAUACAAACAAUAACGUUUUAACUAAAAAUCACUCUACAACAAACUUUAAAUUAUGUAAAAUUCAGGGUUUGAUAAGUUUCCAACUCAGGGUUUAAUAAUGUGUUUGGUAAAAGGGAAAGUGGAUCUGCCCUUUUGUCCGCUUUAAGUGCAUUCAUAAACCGUGUCAAAAUGAAAGUGGGCUCUGCUUGUCCCAUUUGAUGACAACUAUUUUCUUUACAUUUUGGAGCCCAGCUGUGCCCAGCUGCUGACUGAACCUUCCUCAUCUCCUUCCAAUUCCCCCAGAACUUCUACUAUAAAACCCCACAUACCCACGCUAUUCUCUUCACUUCCAUACUCAAGCUUCUUUCCAUUUCUCGUCUCUGUAUUCGCAUUCAAUGACUUAUCCUACUACUUCAAAUCUUUCACCAAAGUUGCUCUUGCUCUCUCUUCUGCUUGGUUCCUUUGUGGUUGCUUCUGUUGGUAACUUGUACCAAGAUUUUGAUAUCACUUGGGGUGAUGGCAGAGCCAAGAUCCUCAACAAUGGACAGCUUCUUACUCUCUCUCUUGACAAAGCCUCUGGCUCUGGCUUCCGGUCCAAUAAUGAGUAUCUGUUUGGGAAGAUUGAUAUGCAGCUGAAGCUUGUGCCUGGAAACUCUGCUGGCACUGUCACUGCCUACUAUGUAAGCCUCCUCUUUACCAAGCGUUUUUCCAUCAAACGCUCUCUUGUUUUCAUCUUCUUCUGACUCACAAAUCAAUAUCCUGCUUUGUGUAAUUGCAGCUAUCGUCACAAGGGCCUACCCAUGAUGAGAUAGAUUUUGAAUUCUUGGGGAAUCUCAGUGGUGAUCCAUACAUUCUUCACACUAAUGUGUUCAGCCAAGGCAAGGGAAACAGAGAGCAGCAAUUCUACCUCUGGUUCGACCCAACUGCCGAUUUCCACACAUACUCCGUUCUCUGGAAUCCCCAGCGCAUUAUGUAAGUACUAUUAUCCUGAUCUCCAAACCUGAAAUCUGGUUUAUGUUUUUCGGGUUUCUGUAUUGAUUUACUCAUCAUGGGUAUCUCUGUUUCAGCUUCUCUGUGGAUGGCACCCCCAUCAGAGAGUUCAAAAAUUCAGAAUCCAUUGGUGUUCCAUACCCGAAAAACCAGCCCAUGAGGAUAUACUCCAGUCUAUGGAAUGCAGAUGACUGGGCAACAAGGGGUGGGCUUGUCAAGACAGACUGGAGCCAAGCACCCUUCACUGCCUCCUACAGGAACUUCAAUGCCAAUGCUUGUGUGUGGUCCUCUGGAUCAUCUUCUUGCAGUUCAACCUCUCCAUCUUCUACCUCCACCAAUGGUGGAUGGUAUUCACAGGAGCUAGAUUCCACAAGCCAAGAGAGAAUGACAUGGGUGCAGAAGAAUUACAUGAUCUACAAUUACUGCACUGACACAAAGCGAUUCCCACAGGGCCUUCCUCCUGAAUGCACAGCCACUACCAUGUCCUAGAAGGAACCGAACCUAAGCCCAUUCAAUCAAUUCUAUUCUUUAAUUCUUUAUCCUUUUAGUUGCUGUUACAACAGCAGAAACCUCAUAUUGUUUACAUUGUAAUAUACGAGUCAAUGCAGAUAAUAAAAGAUUAUUUAUGAAUGACAUGCACUGUUUUUGAACCUCAAUUUGGAUGUCAAAAACCACUAGAGAAAGAAAGGAAAUUGUUGAAAAUGACUGAAGAGAUGAACCAUUGUCAAUGCAAUUUUUAGCUUUUUUUUUCAAUUUGCUUUCCCUGUUCUUUAACUUAUGAGACACAGAUGGGGCCUUGAACCAAAUUUAAGGAGUAAAUAGUUUUUAUUUCCUUCCUUCUAAUUGUAAACAGCAAGAAAGUACAGUUAAAACCACAAAAACCAAGCACUGAGUCGCACAAGAAGCUCUAAGCAUGAUGAAGGUGGCAAACAGACCCAUGAAAAACCACCAAUUCAUGAACAAAACAGUCCCACGUCCCAUGAAUAAUCUAUUGUUAAUUUCUGUCCCACCUCCUUUGCUUGUGGAAGUCAGCAAACCUCUCUGUGGUUCUGGUGACAUGGACAUUGUUGUAUAGACUCCUCUCAAUAUCUACCCAAUUGGGAGGAGAUCGUUACAAUGAUAUCAAAGUCGAUCAUCGACCUCAAUAUGAGAGUUUGUUUGGCCUUACAAGAAGUGUCUGUCUAUUUAAUUAGAUAAUCUUAUGAAACACAAUGAGGAUGUUAUGUCUGCAUAAGGAGUAGGUGAUUGUAAUAUUCCCUAAAUACAUAUGAGUUUCUCUUUACCUUAUAGAAAUGUUUUAAAGUCGUGAGGAUUCUUUGAGUUUAAAGUUGACAAUAUCCCCUAUCAUAUGAGUUUGAUUCUCUUUGUGAUAAUAGGUAAAUUGAUUAUUAGUCACUUCUACUAUAAUAGAUAUGACACAUGAAUACUAAGUCACCUCUGAUUUUUGUAGUGUGCUUUUUUAUAAGUUUCUGCCCUGUUCACAUUAGGGAAGCUCUAGAAUAUGUGAGUAGGUAACUGGAUCUUACUAUGGGUGUUGAACUGGCAGUGACGGAUGCUUGGGCAGGUGCUGCUUGUCUUUCUCUCCUUGUUUUGGCACUUCGGAUGUUUAGAGUUGGAAAAAGUGGCUGACAGUGGGUGGAGUGAUCUAUGUAGGAAGCUCUCGUCCAGCACAUUUUUACACUACAACGUCCUUUCAAGGUUUGGUUUGGGUAAAAGGAAAUGAUUUGAAUUAAUCGAUCAGCAUCUACCAAUCAUUACAAGUUCUUAUUGAGAUGAUAUUACAGAGAAAUGAAGACAUUGUUCUCUGGUGUCUGGUGAAGAUGCUAUAAUUUUUCAAAUAAUUCAGUGAGUAGGAAGAGAAUGAUCAUUCUUUGAAAUAUGCAGCGAAAAAUACAAGAGAGGACUUAGAUUUUGUUAGCACAAGAGAUAUGGAGGAGAACUCGCCUUCUCUUUGGUCGGAAGAAGCUAUUCAUAGAGUUUUUCCAUGGGUUUCUAGUGAAAUUUCUUACUUAUUCUUAUCUCUUUCCCUUUAGUAGGAAUGACAACUUUAUAGGCUUUGUAACUAUGAUUUUUUACCAUUCUUGUUCUUGACAGAUAUGGUAUGGGGGGGCGGGGGCGGGGUGUGGUUUCUUGCUCUUAAUUCAGUUGAAAUAAUAAUAAAUAAACUGCACUUGAAGCCAUGAGAAUCACCUGCCUUUUCGGGCUGUAACUCGACUUGUACUAUCAGUGUUUGUUUAUUGUCUGAUUGAAGCACUUGCAGCUACCAACUGGCAGUGAUGAUGGCUUGGGCAGGUGCUAUUUGUCUUUCUCUCCCCUGUUUUUUGGCAUUUAGGAUCCUUCACCCUAGGAAAAAUGGCUGAUGGAAGAAGCUGUAGUCCAGCACAUUUUUACACUGAAUUGCCCCUUUGUAGUUUGUAUCUCGAGCCAAAAGCUUUACUACAGUCAAAAGGAAAUGACUGAAAUCAAGUAAUGAUCAACAUCAAUUGAUCAGGACAAGUUUUUGUUAAGCUGUUAACAACUUUGAUAUACUGGAAAGGAUUCCAAACCUGGUUGGGGGACGCGGCAGAAGUUAAAAGCAUUGAUAUUUGCUCAGUACUUUUCUAUCGGGAUACCGUGUGAUUGUGAUGAUUUUAAAAAUAUCAGUAGGAAGUCGGGUUUGGUUGUAUUGUGAGUACUGAUGAAGGAGGCCCGUUUGCAGAUGGGUUGCCACUGCCACCUGUAUACAACACAUUUUUUGGCUCUCCAACUUUGAACCUUCCCAGAAUUAACACACCCCUCUCUCUCCACCAUUAGUAUAAAUGUCGGCUGAGAGAUCAAUUUCAAUUCACUGAAAUCAAACAUCUUCUCUUCAAACACCUCUUACCAACCAUACAGCACAUCCCUCAAUGGCACCCAUCUAUUCUUCUUCUUCAGCUGUUUCUACGGCCCUGCUAAUCUCUGUAGUGGUAAGCUUCUUAAUGGCUGCCUCAGCAGGUAACUUCUACCAAGACUUUGACAUCACUUGGGGGGAUAGGCGUGCUAAGAUACUCGACAAUGGAGAGUUUCUCACUCUUUCCCUUGACACGACCUCUGGAUCUGGUUUCCAGUCCAAGAAUGAGUAUUUGUUUGGGAAGAUUGACAUGCAGCUCAAACUUGUUCCUGGAAACUCUGCUGGCACCGUCACUGCCUACUAUGUAAGCCCGCCUUUCAUAUUACUUGUUGCACAUCAUCCUCCAUUUGAUGACCAUUUGUUCUCCAGAUUAGUA
RNAcentral lists this long non-coding RNA (29916 nucleotides) under Vitis vinifera (wine grape). RNAcentral describes it as "long non-coding RNA (VVIN_LNC003613)". The record is from RNAcentral. Lineage: Eukaryota; Viridiplantae; Streptophyta; Magnoliopsida; Vitales; Vitaceae.